This 2121-nucleotide ribosomal RNA is filed under the name marine metagenome. RNAcentral's name for it is "bacterial LSU rRNA". It matches the Rfam family "Bacterial large subunit ribosomal RNA", at positions 179 to 2311 of the family's 2925-position model. The record is from RNAcentral.
GCAAACCCGCUGAACUGAAACAUCUAAGUAGGCGGAGGAGAAGAAAACAAAAGUGAUUCCGUAAGUAGUGGCGAGCGAACGCGGAUUAGCCCAAACCAAUGUUGUUACGGCAAUGUUGGGGUUGUAGGACCACGAUAUUUAAUGCGGAUAGAAUUAGAAUCUACUGGAAAGUAGAGCCAAAGAAGGUGAUAGCCCUGUAUAAGUAAUAGAAGAUAUUAAUAGUGGUAUCCUGAGUAGGGCGGGACACGAGAAAUCCUGUCUGAAUUUGGCGGGACCAUCCGCUAAGGCUAAAUACUCCUGAGAGACCGAUAGUGAACCAGUACCGUGAGGGAAAGGUGAAAAGAACCGUGAAUAACGGAGUGAAAUAGAUCCUGAAACCAUACGCUUACAAGCGGUCGGAGCCCUUUCGUGGGGUGACGGCGUGCCUUUUGCAUAAUGAGCCUACGAGUUAACGUUGCUGGCAAGGAUAAGUGGUUAAGCCACGGAUCCGUAGCGAAAGCGAGUCUGAAUAGGGCGCUUUAGUCAGUAGUGUUAGACGCGAAACCGUGUGAUCUACCCAUGGACAGGUUGAAGCUGUGGUAACACAUAGUGGAGGACCGAACCCGUUGACGUUGAAAAGUCUUGGGAUGAUCUGUGGGUAGGGGUGAAAGGCCAAUCAAACUCGGAAAUAGCUCGUACUCCCCGAAAUGCAUUUAGGUGCAGCGUUAUGCUUAAAGUUAUAUAGAGGUAGAGCUACUGAUUGGAUGCGGGGGCUUCACCGCCUACCAAUUCCUGACAAACUCCGAAUGCUAUAUAAUGUUUCAUAACAGUGAGGGCUUGGGUGCUAAGGUCCAAGUCCGAGAGGGAAAGAACCCAGACCAUCAGCUAAGGUCCCCAAAUAUAUACUAAGUUGAAAGAACGAGGUUUGUCUGCAUAGACAGCUAGGAUGUUGGCUUGGAAGCAGCCAUUCAUUUAAAGAGUGCGUAACAGCUCACUAGUCGAGCGGACGAGCAUGGAUAAUAAUCGGGCAUAAGUAUAUUACCGAAGCUAUGGAUUUAGAGUUUACUCUAAGUGGUAGGGGAGCAUUCUCACAGGGUAGAAGGUGUAUCGUAAGGUAUGCUGGACCGGUGAGAAAAGAAAAUGUAGGCAUAAGUAACGAUAAUGCGGGCGAGAAACCCGCACACCGAAAGACUAAGGUUUCCACAGCUAUGCUAAUCAGCUGUGGGUUAGUCGGGACCUAAGGCGAACCCGAAAGGGACAGUCGAUGGACAACGGGUUAAUAUUCCCGUACUACUGUUAACUGUGAUGGGGUGACGGAGUGAUGAAAGUGCCGCGAACUGACGGAAUAGUUCGUUGAAGUACCUACCUAUAAGGCCCGCAGGCAAAUCCACGGGCUUUGGGGAAAUACGAUAGUACUCGGCGUCUUCGGACAAAGAGAUAGUGCACCUAAGGGCUUCCAAGAAAAACCUCUAAACUUCAGGUUAAUAGUACCCGUACCGCAAACCGACACAGGUAGUCGAGAUGAGAAUUCUAAGGUGCUCGAGAGAUUCAUGGCUAAGGAAUUAGGCAAAAUAGACCCGUAACUUCGGGAGAAGGGUCGCCAGCAGCAAUGCUGGCCGCAGUGAAGAGGUCCAGGCGACUGUUUAUCAAAAACACAGGGCUCUGCAAAAUCGUAAGAUGAAGUAUAGGGCCUGACACCUGCCCGGUGCUGGAAGGUUAAGAGGAGAUGUUAUCUUCGGAGAAGCAUUGAAUUGAAGCCCCAGUAAACGGCGGCCGUAACUAUAACGGUCCUAAGGUAGCGAAAUUCCUUGUCGGGUAAGUUCCGACCUGCACGAAUGGUGUAACGAUCUGGACACUGUCUCAGCCAUGAGCUCGGUGAAAUUGUAGUAACGGUGAAGAUGCCGUUUACCCGCAGUGGGACGAAAAGACCCUGUGCACCUUUACUAUAGCUUAGUAUUGACCUUGGAUAAAUGAUGUGUAGGAUAGGUUGGAGACUGUGAAGUGGCGUCGCUAGGCGUUGUGGAGUCAUUGUUGAAAUACAACCCUUUGUUUAUCUGAGGCCUAACCCCGUUUUACGGGGGACAUUGCUUGGUGGGUAGUUUGACUGGGGUGGUCGCCUCCAAAAGAGUAACGGAGGCUUCU